Non-coding RNA from Paramuricea clavata, 882 nucleotides. NCBI's taxonomy places the organism in Eukaryota, Metazoa, Cnidaria, Anthozoa, Malacalcyonacea, Plexauridae. The record is from the annotation of a GenBank genome assembly.
CUCGUGUCAUUGCUAAGCAUGCAAAGACAGUUGCUAAGAAGAGCAUGAAAGCAGCUGCAAAAGAAGUGUGUGUUUUGCAACAAAAUGAAGAUGUUGAUGGAACAAAUCCUGUAAACUGUGGUAUUUGAUGUGACGGUACCUGGCAACGAAGGGGACAUUCAUCAUGUAACGGGUGUGUUACGGUUAUGUCGAUGGAUACCGGGAAAGUUCUUGAUGUUGAGACACUGAGUCACUGACUACAUUUUGCAAAAGAGGCAAUCAUUGAACUUUUAAAUCUACUGGAUAUUACUCCUGGCAAGUAUACAGAAGUGGCUUGUCAACUUGAAGACAAGUUGAGAGUUUCGCAUGCAGAACACAAAUCCACGCCCGAAGUUAAAAAGAGGCGUAAAGUGAUGAGAGGACUGAAAAAACAAAAGUGUGACAAAAACAAACAGGGGGAGGGAGUAAAGUAUGGUGCUGGAGAGUUCUAUUGACUUUUAGGGACAUGAAGUGUUUUUGGUAGCCAAUUACAUAGUAUGAAAAGUUUAAACUGUAUUUUCUCCAAUAAACGAUUUUCGCAAGGUUUGUAAUCUGCCAACAAUGAUAUCUCAAAAACAAUUUAACAGAUUUGGCUAAAAUUUUCAGAGGAUGUUUACUUCAUCAAAAGCUAUGCAAUGAACUAGAAUGAAGUCAUUAGGUCAAAUACUUUUUGUGCUAUAAGCAAAAAUUCAUGCUGGUCAUGAUUAAAUUUCAGGCACACAUAUUGUUUCAUUCAGAACUUAGAAACUAUUUAUCUGAUUUAAAAUCUUUUAGUUCAUUGCAUGGGUCUAGUAGUGCUUAUUAUUUUCCCAAAGUUUCAUAGACAAAUCUUAAAUUGCUUUCGAGUUAUCAUGUUUGGCGCAA